AGCAGCUGACACCCUCGACUCCCCCGCCUUUGCCACCAUCACCCUCUCCUGGACCAUGGCCGGAUGAGCUCCAGAUAUGGGCCCCAUGGAGGCUCCACUGCACCGGCCUAGAGGCAGGGGGAUGGACACCAUGACCUUUUCAGGCCUGGGCUGCUUCUGAAUUGUGGUGACAUGGAAGAGUGAGGAGCUGGGGGUAAAGGGUUCUGCGCAUGCUCAAAGGCUUUCCAUGAAGACCGAAAGUCCUGACGCUGUGGACUUGGGCUCUGUUUCUCCAGCAUCCUCAGCCCCUCGGCGGAAGCCCCCUACUCCAUUCUGUUACAUGUCCAUGCUUUAUGUCCAGCCAGACCCUGGCCUUCCUCCAACCACGUGGCUCCAAGUCUGGCACCCCACAGGAAUGACUAGCCCUAGCUGAAGGCACACCAAACCUACCCCAGCCUCUGCUGGUCACAGCUGCUCCCACAACUGGGCCAAAGGUGGCAGGGUUGUGACCUGCUCCUGUAACUCCCUGUUCCACCCUCUUUUUCUGUCCUGGGUCUCUGGUCACUCAUAUCCCUGUCCUAGGGGCCAGGCCCUGGGAGGGGAGACAUUGCGUGGUUAUGCUCCUCAAGGCAGAGGUGUUCCUGAAUCCCUUUCCAUUCCUGAUGAAGAAUCAGGUCCCCCACCCUGUGCUUGGGCUCCCUGGCCUAAGGGAUGCUCACCCCUUCCUGUAGGGAAACAGCAUAGUAUAGGUAUAUCCCCACACUGGGUUCAAGUCCUCCUCCUGCCACUUCCCAACUGCGUGGCCUUGGCCACCUCUGUGCCACAGUUUCCCCAUCUGUAGUGUUAGUCGCUCAGUUGUAUCCGACUCUUUUCAACCCCAUGGACUGUAGUCUGCCAGGCUCCUCCGUCUAUGGAAUUCUCCAUGGACAAUUCUCCAGCAAGAAUACUAGAGUGGGUAGCCAUGGCCUUCUACAGGGUAUCUUCCCAACCCAAGGAUUGCUCUUCUCACAUUGAAGGCAGAUUCAAGGAUAAAAUAGGAUCUUACAGGGAUUAAAUGAGUCAAUGU
Molecule: long non-coding RNA, 1045 nt
Organism: Bos taurus (domestic cattle)
Lineage: Eukaryota; Metazoa; Chordata; Mammalia; Artiodactyla; Bovidae
Source: Ensembl